RNAcentral lists this unclassified non-coding RNA (241 nucleotides) under Hevea brasiliensis (rubber tree). The record is from RNAcentral. Lineage: Eukaryota; Viridiplantae; Streptophyta; Magnoliopsida; Malpighiales; Euphorbiaceae.
UCAAAGGAUAUGAAGGGAGUAACUGCAGCAGAGGGUUCUAGAAAGCGUGCUUCAGAAAGGGUUCAGGAUGGCAGGGCUUCAGCUAAAAGAAGCAAUAGUCAAACUGGUUCUCGGCAAGAGGGAUCUGAUAGCCGAGCAGGUGAUAGGGACUUGUACAGUUUGACAGUAGAAAGGCUUCGUGCUCUUCUGAAGGAGCGGGGUCUUUCACCCAGAGGAAAGAAGGAUGAACUGGUUGCAAGGU